UUCCGGUUGAUCCCGCCGGACCCGACUGCUAUCAGAGUGGGACUAAGCCAUGCGAGUCGACACAGCAAUGUGUGGCAUACGGCUCAGUAACACGUAGUCAACAUGCCCAGGGGACGUGGAUAACCUCGGGAAACUGAGGAUAAACCGCGAUAGGUCACUACUUCUGGAGUGGGUAAUGACCCAAACCUAUAUGGCCCCUGGAUUGGACUGCGGCCGAUCAGGCUGUUGGUGAGGUAAUGGCCCACCAAACCUGUAACCGGUACGGGCUCUGAGAGGAGGAGCCCGGAGAUGGGCACUGAGACAAGGGCCCAGGCCCUAUGGGGCGCAGCAGGCGCGAAACCUCUGCAAUAGGCGAAAGCUUGACAGGGUUACUCUGAGUGAUUUCCGUUAAGGAGAUCUUUUGGCACCUCUAAAAAUGAUGCAGAAUAAGGGGUGGGCAAGUCUGGUGUCAGCCGCCGCGGUAAUACCAGCACCCCGAGUGGUCGGGACGUUUAUUGGGCCUAAAGCAUCCGUAGCCGGUUCCACAAGUCUUCCGUUAAAUCCACCUGCUCAACAGAUGGGCUGCGGAAGAUACUAUGGAGCUAGGAGGCGGGAGAGGCAAGCGGUACUCGAUGGGUAGGGGUAAAAUCCGUUGAUCCAUUGAAGACCACCAGUGGCGAAGGCGGCUUGCCAGAACGCGCUCGACGGUGAGGGAUGAAAGCUGGGGGGAGCAAACCGGAUUAAAUACCCGGGUAGUCCCAGCUGUAAACGAUGCAGACUCGGUGAUGAGUUGGCUUUAUGCCAACUCAGUGCCGCAGGGAAGCCGUUAAGUUUGCCGCCUGGGGAGUACGGUCGCAAGACUGAAACUUAAAGGAAUUGGCGGGGGAGCACCACAAGGGGUGAAGCCUGCGGUUCAAUUGGAGUCAACGCCGGG
This 913-nucleotide ribosomal RNA is filed under the name uncultured archaeon. Its description in RNAcentral is "bacterial SSU rRNA". It matches the Rfam family "Archaeal small subunit ribosomal RNA", at positions 1 to 922 of the family's 1478-position model. The record is from RNAcentral.